Molecule: ribosomal RNA, 253 nt
Filed under: uncultured bacterium
Lineage: Bacteria
Description: partial 16S ribosomal RNA
Rfam family: Bacterial small subunit ribosomal RNA
Source: RNAcentral
UACAGAGGUGGCAAGCGUUGUUCGGAAUUACUGGGCGUAAAGGGCGCGUAGGCGGCCCACUAAGUCAGACGUGAAAUCCCCCGGCUUAACCUGGGAACUGCGUCUGAUACUGGAUGGCUUGAGUGUGGGAGAGGGAUGCGGAAUUCCAGGUGUAGCGGUGAAAUGCGUAGAUAUCUGGAGGAACACCGGUGGCGAAGGCGGCAUCCUGGACCACGACUGACGCUGAGGAGCGAAAGCCAGGGGAGCAAACGGG